This 396-nucleotide ribosomal RNA is filed under the name Triticum aestivum (bread wheat). RNAcentral's name for it is "partial small subunit ribosomal RNA". Lineage: Eukaryota; Viridiplantae; Streptophyta; Magnoliopsida; Poales; Poaceae. The record is from RNAcentral.
AUGGUUCUGGUUCGAGCCGGACUGGCCACCUACAAGGGCGGGAAGCAGGCGGAGAGCGUCCCCAAUCCCUCCAAAGGAGAGCGGGUAUGCUUCGUCCCCUACCUAAUAAGGGGACUCAGAUUUCCCAUACAUCCGUUUCUCCAGGGGCUCCUGGAGUUCUAUGGACUCCAACUUCACCACCUCACACCUGCCUCCAUCUUGCACAUCGCGGGCUUUGUAGCUCUUUGCGAGCUGUUCUUGGGCAUAGAUCCCCAUUUUGCACUGUGGAAGAGAUUGUUUUGCCUCGUACCCCGUUCUCAUGAGGGGUCGAUAUAUCAAGUGGGAGGAGCCGAAAUAUGGCGCAUCGCCGGGACCGGAUAUCUAUCCGGAACCCCGAAGAAGGCAUCCGAAGACUAG